UAACACAAAACCAAACUAAUCCUUACAAGAUCAAACCAGAUAAAAAAUAAAUAUCUUGUGUUAU
This 64-nucleotide transfer RNA is filed under the name unidentified. RNAcentral describes it as "Cupuladria biporosa tRNA-Val". The record is from RNAcentral.